UCCAUGUAGCUUCGGAAGAGAAUCCUGC
RNAcentral lists this non-coding RNA (28 nucleotides) under Bombyx mori (domestic silkworm). Lineage: Eukaryota; Metazoa; Arthropoda; Insecta; Lepidoptera; Bombycidae. The record is from RNAcentral.